Molecule: long non-coding RNA, 1942 nt
Organism: Cavia porcellus (domestic guinea pig)
Lineage: Eukaryota; Metazoa; Chordata; Mammalia; Rodentia; Caviidae
Exons: 16
Source: RefSeq, a predicted model, not a curated record
GGUUAUCUUCACCGUCAGGAGAAGGAACACACAGGCACAACUAGGAGACCCAUGUCUACCUCUGCAAAUUUCUGGUGAAUGUGAUGGCUGUGUGGCUUCUCCAGGUGUCCAUGCACUGUAGAAGAAGAGCUGAGCUUCCUAGGAAUGCUGCGUUCCGCUUCUCCAAAGACCCCACUGUUCUGCUGUCAUUCAUCAUAUGCUAUCAGGUGUUGGUUGGAGCUGGUUGGGCAUUUAUCCAGGUAUUGGUUAUCUUCACCGUCAGGAGAAGGAACACACAGGCACAACUAGGAGACCCAUGUCUACCUCUGCAAAUUUCUGGUGAAUGUGAUGGCUGUGUGGCUUCUCCAGGUGUCCAUGCACUGUAGAAGAAGAGCUGAGCUUCCUAGGAAUGCUGCGUUCCGCUUCUCCAAAGACCCCACUGUUCUGCUGUCAUUCAUCAUAUGCUAUCAGGUGUUGGUUGGAGCUGGUUGGGCAUUUAUCCAGGUAUUGGUUAUCUUCACCGUCAGGAGAAGGAACACACAGGCACAACUAGGAGACCCAUGUCUACCUCUGCAAAUUUCUGGUGAAUGUGAUGGCUGUGUGGCUUCUCCAGGUGUCCAUGCACUGUAGAAGAAGAGCUGAGCUUCCUAGGAAUGCUGCGUUCCGCUUCUCCAAAGACCCCACUGUUCUGCUGUCAUUCAUCAUAUGCUAUCAGGUGUUGGUUGGAGCUGGUUGGGCAUUUAUCCAGGUAUUGGUUAUCUUCACCGUCAGGAGAAGGAACACACAGGCACAACUAGGAGACCCAUGUCUACCUCUGCAAAUUUCUGGUGAAUGUGAUGGCUGUGUGGCUUCUCCAGGUGUCCAUGCACUGUAGAAGAAGAGCUGAGCUUCCUAGGAAUGCUGCGUUCCGCUUCUCCAAAGACCCCACUGUUCUGCUGUCAUUCAUCAUAUGCUAUCAGGUGUUGGUUGGAGCUGGUUGGGCAUUUAUCCAGGUAUUGGUUAUCUUCACCGUCAGGAGAAGGAACACACAGGCACAACUAGGAGACCCAUGUCUACCUCUGCAAAUUUCUGGUGAAUGUGAUGGCUGUGUGGCUUCUCCAGGUGUCCAUGCACUGUAGAAGAAGAGCUGAGCUUCCUAGGAAUGCUGCGUUCCGCUUCUCCAAAGACCCCACUGUUCUGCUGUCAUUCAUCAUAUGCUAUCAGGUGUUGGUUGGAGCUGGUUGGGCAUUUAUCCAGGUAUUGGUUAUCUUCACCGUCAGGAGAAGGAACACACAGGCACAACUAGGAGACCCAUGUCUACCUCUGCAAAUUUCUGGUGAAUGUGAUGGCUGUGUGGCUUCUCCAGGUGUCCAUGCACUGUAGAAGAAGAGCUGAGCUUCCUAGGAAUGCUGCGUUCCGCUUCUCCAAAGACCCCACUGUUCUGCUGUCAUUCAUCAUAUGCUAUCAGGUGUUGGUUGGAGCUGGUUGGGCAUUUAUCCAGGUAUUGGUUAUCUUCACCGUCAGGAGAAGGAACACACAGGCACAACUAGGAGACCCAUGUCUACCUCUGCAAAUUUCUGGUGAAUGUGAUGGCUGUGUGGCUUCUCCAGGUGUCCAUGCACUGUAGAAGAAGAGCUGAGCUUCCUAGGAAUGCUGCGUUCCGCUUCUCCAAAGACCCCACUGUUCUGCUGUCAUUCAUCAUAUGCUAUCAGGUGUUGGUUGGAGCUGGUUGGGCAUUUAUCCAGGUAUUGGUUAUCUUCACCGUCAGGAGAAGGAACACACAGGCACAACUAGGAGACCCAUGUCUACCUCUGCAAAUUUCUGGUGAAUGUGAUGGCUGUGUGGCUUCUCCAGGUGUCCAUGCACUGUAGAAGAAGAGCUGAGCUUCCUAGGAAUGCUGCGUUCCGCUUCUCCAAAGACCCCACUGUUCUGCUGUCAUUCAUCAUAUGCUAUCAGGUGUUGGUUGGAGCUGGUUGGGCAUUUA